CGCUGGCGGCGUGCUUAACACAUGCAAGUCGAACGGAAAGGCCCUGCUUUUGUGGGGUGCUCGAGUGGCGAACGGGUGAGUAACACGUGAGUAACCUGCCCUUGACUUUGGGAUAACUUCAGGGAACUGGGGCUAAUACCGGAUAGGAGCUCCUGCUGCAUGGUGGGGGUUGGAAAGUUUCGGCGGUUGGGGAUGGACUCGCGGCUUAUCAGCUUGUUGGUGGGGUAGUGGCUUACCAAGGCUUUGACGGGUAGCCGGCCUGAGAGGGUGACCGGCCACAUUGGGACUGAGAUACGGCCCAGACUCCUACGGGAGGCAGCAGUGGGGAAUAUUGCACAAUGGGCGGAAGCCUGAUGCAGCAACGCCGCGUGCGGGAUGACGGCCUUCGGGUUGUAAACCGCUUUCGCCUGUGACGAAGCGUGAGUGACGGUAAUGGGUAAAGAAGCACCGGCUAACUACGUGCCAGCAGCCGCGGUGAUACGUAGGGUGCGAGCGUUGUCCGGAUUUAUUGGGCGUAAAGGGCUCGUAGGUGGUUGAUCGCGUCGGAAGUGUAAUCUUGGGGCUUAACCCUGAGCGUGCUUUCGAUACGGGUUGACUUGAGGAAGGUAGGGGAGAAUGGAAUUCCUGGUGGAGCGGUGGAAUGCGCAGAUAUCAGGAGGAACACCAGUGGCGAAGGCGGUUCUCUGGGCCUUUCCUGACGCUGAGGAGCGAAAGCGUGGGGAGCGAACAGGCUUAGAUACCCUGGUAGUCCACGCUGUAAACGGUGGGUACUAGGUGUGGGGUCCAUUCCACGGGUUCCGUGCCGUAGCUAACGCUUUAAGUACCCCGCCUGGGGAGUACGGCCGCAAGGCUAAAACUCAAAGGAAUUGACGGGGCCCCGCACAAGCGGCGGAGCAUGCGGAUUAAUUCGAUGCAACGCGUAGAACCUUACCUGGGUUUGACAUGGAUCGGGAGCGCUCAGAGAUGGGUGUGCCUCUUUUGGGGUCGGUUCACAGGUGGUGCAUGGCUGUCGUCAGCUCGUGUCGUGAGAUGUUGGGUUAAGUCCCGCAACGAGCGCAACCCUUGUUCACUGUUGCCAGCACGUUAUGGUGGGGACUCAGUGGAGACCGCCGGGGUCAACUCGGAGGAAGGUGGGGAUGACGUCAAGUCAUCAUGCCCCUUAUGUCCAGGGCUUCACGCAUGCUACAAUGGCUGGUACAGAGAGUGGCGAGCCUGUGAGGGUGAGCGAAUCUCGGAAAGCCGGUCUCAGUUCGGAUUGGGGUCUGCAACUCGACCUCAUGAAGUCGGAGUCGCUAGUAAUCGCAGAUCAGCAACGCUGCGGUGAAUACGUUCCCGGGGCUUGUACACACCGCCCGUCAAGUCAUGAAAGUUGGUAACACCCGAAGCCGGUGGCCUAACCGUUGUGGGGGAGCCGUCGAAGGUGGGACUGGUGAUUAGGACU
RNAcentral lists this ribosomal RNA (1441 nucleotides) under uncultured organism. RNAcentral describes it as "SSU rRNA". It matches the Rfam family "Bacterial small subunit ribosomal RNA". The record is from RNAcentral.